RNAcentral lists this ribosomal RNA (253 nucleotides) under uncultured bacterium. RNAcentral describes it as "partial 16S ribosomal RNA". It matches the Rfam family "Bacterial small subunit ribosomal RNA", at positions 524 to 776 of the family's 1533-position model. The record is from RNAcentral.
UACGUGGGGGGCAAGCGUUGUUCGGAAUUACUGGGCGUAAAGGGCUCGUAGGUGGCCAACUAAGUCGGACGUGAAAUCCCUCGGCUUAACCGGGGAACUGCGUCUGAUACUGGAUGGCUUGAGUUCGGGAGAGGGAUGCGGAAUUCCAGGUGUAGCGGUGAAAUGCGUAGAUAUCUGGAGGAACACCGGUGGCGAAGGCGGCAUCCUGGACCGACACUGACGCUGAGGAGCGAAAGCCAGGGGAGCAAACGGG